This 1002-nucleotide long non-coding RNA is filed under the name Papio anubis (olive baboon). RNAcentral describes it as "lncRNA (ENSPANG00000047399.1)". Lineage: Eukaryota; Metazoa; Chordata; Mammalia; Primates; Cercopithecidae. The record is from RNAcentral.
AUGGGGAGAAAUCCUUUGUUCUGGGACAGGUGUGAGCCUGAGUGCCCUAUGGUGCAACCGCUUGAAUUCCUAGCCACAUUACACGCUUCUAAUGUCAUUUGGAUGUCCUGGGACUCCAAAUUUAGCACUCCUCAAUCCACACACAUAAGAAGAUUUGUGGAUUUAAAUUCUUUUUGUGAGGCUGUGAAUAUGAAAACAUAUUCACCUCCUUCUCAUGUGAUCCUAAUCCUGGUUAAUCGUGUUUCUCUGGGGCACUUCUCCACACUGCCUACUCUGAGCCACUAUUUGUGCUUCAGGGGAAUCUUUUUAUUUCCCCCAAGUUCCCCAGCAAAGGAACAAGCAGGAGGCACCAAGGUGCAAAGAGGAAGAUUUGGAAGCACAUCGAAGGGUUCUCCCAACCUGCUGGCACUGCUGGACUGUGGGGGAAAUGGGCAAGCGUCGAUGCAGAAAGGAGCAGGGAAACAGAGGCUCCAAAGGAAACAGGCUUCCCAAGUCACCGCCAUGGAGACUAGGCCACUCUCUCAACUCCCACAGGGUGUCCCGUGCACCCCUCUCCAGUUCAGCCACCAUGUGCCAGUUGCAAUCACUGCUGUCGUUGCUCACAAGCCAGCCGGGCUCCCCCUUGCCUUCAGUCCCCAAGUCCGUGUUCCUCAGGACUUCCAUGAUCCAACUCCACCCACAGCAGCCACUCUGAAGGGCAUCCUGUUUGCUGAAACAUACCGAUGUCUCCAUCAUCACCACCAUGUGCUUUUUUGGGCACAGGCCUGGUUUACCCUCCCCUUCUGCCCUCCUCUGUCAGUGCUAAGCCUCCUGCCUCCGUGGCCACCUGCCUUACACAGCCUUCCUUGUCUCUUUGGUUGUCAUUCACCUGCCACUUGUGGAUCGCUACGGCCCUUGGCGUCAUGUCCUGGGAGGCACUGGUCCCUCAUGAGCAGAUUUCUAUGUGUGAACUGCCCUGGGCUGGAUCCUGGAGCCGGCCUAGUCUGUGGCUUCGCUAUCUAG